UUUCCUAACACAUGCAAGCCGAGCGAGAAAGCCCGCAAGGGUGAGUACAGCGGCGCAUGGGUGAGUAACACGUGGGUAAUCUGCCCUGGAGUCCGGAAUAACUCGCCGAAAGGCGUGCUAAUGCCGGAUGAGACCACGGGGGCUUCGGCCCCUGAUGGAAAAGGUGGCCUCUGCAUGCAAGCUAUCACUCCAGGAUGAGCCCGCGGCCCAUCAGCUCGUUGGCGGGGUAACGGCCCACCAAGGCUACGACGGGUAGCUGGUCUGAGAGGACGAUCAGCCACACUGGAACUGAGACACGGUCCAGACUCCUACGGGUGGACACAGUGGGACUCCUACGGGAGGCAGCAGUGGG
This 352-nucleotide small RNA is filed under the name uncultured bacterium. RNAcentral describes it as "bacterial SSU rRNA". It matches the Rfam family "Bacterial small subunit ribosomal RNA", at positions 47 to 358 of the family's 1533-position model. The record is from RNAcentral.